Long non-coding RNA from Fukomys damarensis (Damara mole-rat), 724 nucleotides. RefSeq lists it as uncharacterized. The transcript is spliced from 3 exons. The record is from RefSeq and is a predicted model, not a curated record. NCBI's taxonomy places the organism in Eukaryota, Metazoa, Chordata, Mammalia, Rodentia, Bathyergidae.
UUGAUUUUUGUACUGCGUUUUACAUGAGACAUAUUUGUGAAAUCCAUUUUUAUAAAUAGUUUGAAGCCCAGUGAGGCUGAGUAACUACUCCAGGAUCACUUGUUUAGUAUUUGGCUUGAGCAGGAUUACAGUUUAGUUCUUCCAUCUGAUUCUGCCUCUCUUCUAGUACCUCCUCAUCCAUUUGCUAUAAAAGUAGCCCAGCAGCUGAAUUGCCAUGUGAUACUGCGCCCUUCUUACCAACCAGGUGAUGGCAAUAAUAGGAAAAGAGGCAAAAGAUCAGGAGACCUUUACCACAUGUGCUGCCCAAGUAGUUGUAGCAACUGAAGCUACAAUCCUAGCAUCAACCAAAAUGUGUGUCCAGUCAGAAAAACAGAGUCCUCAUAACCUCUAAGCGCUGCGGUUAUUUGGUUGAAGUGAAGGACGUGUGAGCAUUUUGUUGGGAAACCAUAAGCUGGGAAGACAACAGAGAAAAUAGGAGAAAUAUUAUAAAGUAAUGCAGAAACUUCAAAGCAGUACAGCAUGGAUGGUGACUUUGAAAACAACAGCUGCUGACGCGAACUUGGCAGAAAUCAGUGAGUAAUGGUGGGUGACUCAUUGCAAGCAGGGGAGUCUUGCAGCUUUUGAGGGGAACAGGCAGAGGGGAGAGCAGAGAUGGUGGCCAUCCAGGGGCCAAGUACUUAUGUCCUGAAUGUGAAAAUGCCCCUGGUCCCUGUUAAAUUUUGUA